UCCGGUUUGUCACCGGCAGUCUCAUUAGAGUGCCCUUGCGUAGCAACUAAUGAUAAGGGUUGCGCUCGUUGCGGGACUUAACCCAACAUCUCACGACACGAGCUGACGACAGCCAUGCAGCACCUGUGUUCCGAUUCCCUUUCGGGCACACUCACCUCUCGGCAAGCUUCCGGACAUGUCAAGGGUAGGUAAGGUUGUUCGCGUUGCAUCGAAUUAAUCCACAUCAUCCACCGCUUGUGCGGGUCCCCGUCAAUUCCUUUGAGUUUUAACCUUGCGGCCGUACUCCCCAGGCGGUCAACUUCACGCGUUAGCUACGGUACUGAGGAAUCGCUCCCCCAACACCCAGUUGACAUCGUUUAGGGCGUGGACUAC
Molecule: unclassified non-coding RNA, 372 nt
Filed under: uncultured Gammaproteobacteria bacterium
Lineage: Bacteria; Pseudomonadati; Pseudomonadota; Gammaproteobacteria
Description: contains 16S-23S intergenic spacer region
Source: RNAcentral